RNAcentral lists this signal recognition particle RNA (302 nucleotides) under Colobus angolensis palliatus. RNAcentral's name for it is "Metazoan signal recognition particle RNA (ENSCANG00000005936.1)". It matches the Rfam family "Metazoan signal recognition particle RNA". From Rfam's summary of the family: The signal recognition particle (SRP) is a universally conserved ribonucleoprotein. It is involved in the co-translational targeting of proteins to membranes. The eukaryotic SRP consists of a 300-nucleotide 7S RNA and six proteins: SRPs 72, 68, 54, 19, 14, and 9. The record is from RNAcentral. Lineage: Eukaryota; Metazoa; Chordata; Mammalia; Primates; Cercopithecidae.
GCCAGGUGACACACACCUGUUGUCCCAGUUACUCAGGAUGCUGAAGCAGGAGGAACAAUUGAGCCCAGGAGUUCUGGGUUGCAUGCACUAUGCUGAUCAAGUGUCUGCACUAAGUUUGGCAUCGAUAUGUUAGCUUCCAGAGAGCAGAGGACCACCAGGUUGCUUAAGGUUUGGUGAACCAGCUCAACUCAAAAAUUGAGCAGGAUAAAACUCCUCUGCUUAUCAGCAGUUUUAUCAAAGGGAUAAGUCCUUUGAAUAGUUACUGCACUACAACCUGGGCAACAUAGUGAGACCCUAUUUCU